ACACAUAUGUAUCCAACACAUGUUACCAAUAGUAGCAAGUUUCAUCCGUACAUAUACAUAGUUUCAUCAAUAUUACACAGUUUCAUCCAUAGGUAGCAAGUUUCACAAGGUCAAAACAAAAACUAAAUACAAGCACUCCAUCAACCCAAGCUUCCGUGAUCUUAAGCAAAUCUGUAAAAUGGGAAAGAAGAAAGUUAGAAGAAGAAGAUUAUUGUGAUGCAACUAAAAUGUGAAGAUUAUUAUGAUGCAACUUAUAUCUGUAAAAUAGGUCAUUCUUGAACAUGUAAAGAUAAUUUCGAAAUGUAUGGAAGUUCAGUUGCAUGAGUCUGGUGACAACAUUCAAACAGAGAAUUAGAUAGUACUUACUCACUCCAGUUCACAAAAUUUUGUCAUUUUUCGCAUAAUUUUAACGAGUGUUUGGAAUAUAGGAAUAUACAAAUUCGGGGAUGCUACUACAAUGAUAGUAUUGUACAGCUGCCACUAGGUUAUUCCUUCAACAUUAAGGGCAUGAGCAAGCAUAUAAGGCCUAAGGUGAUACCUGAUGUUAUCUCAAUCUCAUCCAUGACAGCUGGAAAACCACGCUGAGUUUGGCCUGGCCAAAAAAGAUACAAAAUCAACACAUGAACUUAGAUUAACCGCAGUAGCUGAUAGUUCUUGGCUCAAAGAUCUGUUGCAACAACAACCCAGACCAUGCCCCCCGCGCCCUGUGAGGAAGAGAUGCAAUUAAUUGAAAGCAGAUUGAAAUGGAAAUAAAUAUAACGGAGUACAAGAGAGAAAUAACACAAUUGAAUUUACUUGUGACUAUAUGAGCAACUGAAAUGUAAAUAUAGGAUUAGUAGAAGCUAUAUCCAUAUGGUCAAAUGAAUGAAAGCAAGCACACAUUGCAUUGGAAUCGAAUCUGUCAUAGGUUGGCCCAAGUGUAUUAAAAGAGUCAGAGCAUAACAAUAGAACAUUAGUUAGUUGUUCAUUCAUGAUUAGAAAGUGGAAAGUGAGAGGCAUGAGCACCAUGGCUCACAAAACUACAAGGACAAUGGUGAUAGACUCGACGAAGUGAAGCAGGGAGGAGCCUAAGUGUGUGGUGAUUCAAAGCAGAUGCAAUGAAUUACAUAAUGUAAUGUUGUAGAGAAACGCGGUGAUAAUAAUAAUUUCCUGAAUAAAAAAGCAGAUAUACAAUGUGGGGAUUUCCCCCAGCCCUGACCUUGUCAAAAUAGAUUAAAAUGCAUGGGUGCUUAAAUUUUUUGGAAUGGAUGUAAGGAUAUGUGUACUAUAAAAAGUAGGGGGUAUUUUUCUUUUUCAUUUGAACAAACAGGCAAGGUGCACCUUUUGUAUCACAUAUAAUUGCAGCCGUCAUCACAAAAAGUUGUUCGAGUGGGGAUCGAAGAUCGAUGAAAAAAAUAGGUGCACACAUCCUAUCUGAUGCAUUAACACAAUCUUCGUUGUACACUUUUUUUCAAAAAAAGCUAAUUUUACAUUAGCUCCGUCUCGAUUCGGUGCUACUCUAGAAUCCAAAGAAAGUUAGAGAGGCAGAUUACAUUUUUUGUUUGUCUAAUGCCAAAUUUUAAUCAUGCAUCAUGAAGCUGCAAAACUGAGAGACGUCCAAUAGAUUUCUGAAUAUAAUUUGUGUGACUACUUGUUGGGAAGAGAUCAUCAUCAUAUGACAAAACAAAUACCCAAAAUAUGUUUCCACCACAUCACACAACCAAGAUGUGCAGUCAAGCAUGAGGUUGCAAUGCAAUGCAAGAACAAAGGAUUACAGUAGGUUGGGUGGGUUGUGGUCAGCUCUGAUGAGGACGGUGAGCCCGGCAGCUUCAACGCCACAAGUUACCUGCUCCGUCGUGGGCACUUACCCAAACAUUCUGGCACCUGACUUGCUGGAGAUAAGCGACAAGAUACGUAUCUGGUCCUGAAUUGACUCCCUAAAAAAGCGAGCCCAUAAAUAGGAGGUAGAAAAAGAAACAGAACAGAGUGCGAGUCCCCAAGAACCACAUAACGACCAUUUAAAAAAAGUGCCACGAAUCGAUUCUCGCCUGAUAGCUUGAUUGUUCACAAGGGCGAUAGCACAAAAUCAAAUCCAUGAGUGUGUAAAUCCAACAAUAAAUCAAUCCAAGUAAGUUUAGGGUGGUUGAGUUCAUCACCAAAAAGAGACAUAAAUCCCAAGUCCAGAUGGAUCUUCAUUCACAUCAACACAAUAGAGGAAUAGAAAAGAAAGAAGAACAUUGUAUAGUAGAUAAGGAAAUUUUGUGUAUUUGUAGCAUAGCAAAAGAGGGCUCAGUUUUGUCUUUGAUCUUCAAGCCCAACACUCACAUAUCUUGCUACAUAACAUACCCAUCGCAAUGUAAAUGAACUGCCCUGGUUAUCACUUGUCAGAAUGACCAUUCGAGGUGCAGAACGUCCAACAUCACCGAUGAAUUGAACAGGCUGCAAGAGAGGUAAGGGUGGGCUCUAAUUUAGUACCCACAAGCCACAACAGUCUUGAUUGCUCAAUACAUGCUUAUUUCAGCCAGAGUCAUCAUCAUGGCCCCUCAUUUUCUACCGGAAAGAAGGUUGUACCCCCGGCCUUUGCUCACCAAGCAACAUGACCCUGAUAUCCAUCCAAUACAUACAUACAUACACACAUCCAUCCAUCCGUUAGCCUCAGGAGCUACUCAUACCUGGCCUCGGCCGACCAAACCUCCUAGUACGCAUCAGAGAAUACCGUACAUUUUCCAGCCCACGCCACAACCGAAUCCAAGGCACUUUGUGGGGCUUGUCCAGCAUGACCAUGAGCUGGGCCGAAGGCGCAAUGCGACCUGGUACUCGUCACCGCGGGUGGGGGCAGGGAGCCGGGCGAGGUCACGCCCACCACGCGGUCCUAGAGACCUCGUCGGCGCACCCAACACCGCGGCGGCUGCCCGAGCCCGGGCCUCCAUGCCGGCGACGACGCGGCACGGACGGGAUCCCUGGCCCAGCAAGACGGAGGGAUCCAAGGGCUGAGCCUCCUCAUCGCCCAGUCACAAAUAUGUGAAAAAAUAUCCAAACCAUGCCAAUCGUGAGCUCGCAAGACAGCCAUGUUGCAGGGCAACAACCCCUUACCUAGUCCGGGCAGCGAUUGCAAGAACAUCAAGGUAAGAUUGGG
RNAcentral lists this long non-coding RNA (3115 nucleotides) under Triticum aestivum (bread wheat). RNAcentral describes it as "long non-coding RNA (TAES_LNC001061)". Lineage: Eukaryota; Viridiplantae; Streptophyta; Magnoliopsida; Poales; Poaceae. The record is from RNAcentral.